This 366-nucleotide long non-coding RNA is filed under the name Homo sapiens (human). RNAcentral describes it as "HSALNT0339665". Lineage: Eukaryota; Metazoa; Chordata; Mammalia; Primates; Hominidae. The record is from RNAcentral.
AUGCCUGUAAUCCCAGCUACUCAGGAGGCUGAGGCAGGAGAAUUGCUUGAACCUAGAAGGCAGAGGUUGCAGUGAGUCGAGAUUCAGCCACUGCACUCCAGCUUUGGCGACAGAGCAAGACUACAUCUAGGCGGUGUCGGGGGGAAGAAGUAAAAUGGACAGCAGCAAACCACAGAUAAUUUACAGAGGGCACUAAAGCUGAUCCCCUGGGAGCUUCAGAAUUUAAUGACUUCGCCUGACGAUUUCCUAUUCUUUUCCACAAUGUGCUAAGUCAAAUUAUGGCCAAAUUACCAAUCGCAUGGUAAUUCAGCUUCUAAAUAUAUUUUGCAGAGUGUUUCCAAAAGUUAAAAAAAAAAAAAAAACUUC